CAAUGUUCACCUAAGCGGGAACAGCGUUUAGAGCGGCUUCUGGAAACUUCGGAGGGCUUCAAAACGCGUUUGUCACCUGCACGUCCUUUGUACACCAGCAGCAUCUUUCAGAUGCAGCCAUGAAGAAUCCACAGUAAUAGUCACGCUGCAGGUGACAAAGAAAUCAACCAGAGACCUCCACGUCUGUUAAGAGCCGAGUACAUUUAACAUUAUUGGGUCGGGGUCAGAUUCUGUCUGCCUCUCUCUCUCUCUUCCACACAUGCUCAGUAUAUACAUUCACUGACUGCUUUAUGUACACCUUACUUAAGCCUGUUUGCAAAUUACAUUACAUCACAUCACUGCGUUGCUGUGGCACAUACUGGAGGGCAGGAAGUGAUUUUCAUAGAAGGCACUGUCACAGGUUCUCAAAAUGCCUAUGGUUUACGUUGUUUAUGGUUGCUAAAUUAGUUCUAACUGAGAAACUACAAGGUUCUUUUAUCAGAUACCAAAGCUUGUUGUUCAUUGGGGGAAAAUGCAAGAAAUUGACC
Molecule: long non-coding RNA, 527 nt
Organism: Colossoma macropomum (tambaqui)
Lineage: Eukaryota; Metazoa; Chordata; Actinopteri; Characiformes; Serrasalmidae
Exons: 3
Source: RefSeq, a predicted model, not a curated record